GCCGUCUUAGCUCAGUGGUAGAGC
RNAcentral lists this non-coding RNA (24 nucleotides) under Arabidopsis thaliana (thale cress). The record is from RNAcentral. Lineage: Eukaryota; Viridiplantae; Streptophyta; Magnoliopsida; Brassicales; Brassicaceae.